This 91-nucleotide transfer RNA is filed under the name Colletotrichum graminicola M1.001. RNAcentral describes it as "tRNA-Gln for anticodon UUG". It matches the Rfam family "tRNA". Rfam says of the family: Transfer RNA (tRNA) molecules are approximately 80 nucleotides in length. Lineage: Eukaryota; Fungi; Ascomycota; Sordariomycetes; Glomerellales; Glomerellaceae. The record is from Rfam by way of RNAcentral.
GGUUGUGUAGUGUAGUGGUCAUCACUCCGGAUUUUGAUCACAUCAAAAUCGCUAUUUUCCGGCAACCCCGGUUCGAACCCGGGCACGACCU